RNAcentral lists this ribosomal RNA (253 nucleotides) under uncultured bacterium. RNAcentral describes it as "partial 16S ribosomal RNA". It matches the Rfam family "Bacterial small subunit ribosomal RNA", at positions 524 to 776 of the family's 1533-position model. The record is from RNAcentral.
UACGUAGGGUGCGAGCGUUGUCCGGAAUUACUGGGCGUAAAGAGCUCGUAGGUGGUUUGUCGCGUUGUUCGUGAAAACUCACAGCUCAACUGUGGGCGUGCGGGCGAUACGGGCAGACUGGAGUACUGCAGGGGAGACUGGAAUUCCUGGUGUAGCGGUGGAAUGCGCAGAUAUCAGGAGGAACACCAGCGGCGAAGGCGGCGCUCUGGGCCGGUACUGACACUGAGGAGCGAAAGCGUGGGUAGCAAACAGG